This is a long non-coding RNA of Passer domesticus (house sparrow), 1185 nucleotides long. RefSeq lists it as uncharacterized. The record is from RefSeq and is a predicted model, not a curated record. The transcript has 3 exons. Lineage: Eukaryota; Metazoa; Chordata; Aves; Passeriformes; Passeridae.
CCCAGAGGGAUGGGACAGAGCCAGGGAAAAGGUCACCUCUGACAUCGUCCCCUUCUCUCUGCACAAAGCCAGCAUUUCCCUGCUGAACAGGAGAGCUCCCUCUGACCCUUCCCAUGCUUGUGCUGGGCUCAGUCCUCUUGGAAAACCUUCAGGAAUUGCUGCCACCAACACUCCUUGGAGCAGGGCACGGGCUGGACUCUCCACACAAGGAUUUUCUUGCUGACUGACAGCAAGAGCUGCUGAGACACCUCCCGCAGGAAAGGGGACCCUGAGUCACCUUUUCCAUGGGGAAAUUCCUGCUGAUAUCCACCCUGAGCCUGCCCUGAGUCCCCGGUGGGACACAGGGACAUGUCUGCUCCCAGGAAUGCACCCAGACAGCCUCGUGCCUCUGCAGGUGUGGGUGUUCUCCCAGGAAUGUCUGCAGCAGCGUCCCCUUUGCCAGCUCUCCCCAUCUGGGGCUGCUCAGGGCCAGUCAAGCCCCAAGAUGAAAGCCUUUGGAUCCUGACUCAUCUCAGCACUGGCUGUAAACUCUGGAAUUCCAGUUCCCCAUCCUCUGGAGGAAGCUUUGGGCUGGUUUGGGAGGAACCCCAGGGUUUUGCAUGCUCCUUUGCAUGGCAGAUGAAUGGCUGGGGCUCCUGCAGGGCCAGGUGGAUCCUUCUCCUCCUGAGGACACAGCCACGCCGUGCUCCUGCAGCACUGGUGCCACCUGCGGCCGUUUCACCUGCCAAAAAUCCCCUGGAAAUUCAGGUUUAAUCUGCUGUGAACUCCUCCAAACGAUCUGUCCCUCCAAAAUAAUGCUGCGUUUUGAUGGGUUGGUGACAAGGACAUUUAAUCCUGCGAGUUGAUCCUUCCGUUCAUUUGACUGGUGGCCCUUUCAUGUCAAAACUCUUCGAGCCAGUGAGUGAGAGCUCAAAGGCUGCUGGUAAAUUGUCAGCCCCGCGCCCUCGGAACAGGUCCAACGUGUUGUGCUGCUGUUUUUUCCCCAGGGAAUAAUCACAUCCCUUCUGCCUGCCCUGCGCAUGCACGGGAGGUCGGGAUUGUUAUUUCUGAUGAACUUCAAGGCACCUCUUGCCGCAGAAAUAACAUUUCUGUGGGUUUAUUUAUUUAUUGAUCUGCUCCCUUCCAAAGCGAAGGGAGAAAAAGAGGCAAGGCAAAAAGGCAGAAGAGAGGGAGAUGAAGAACUAG